AGUAUCAGGGGAUGAAACCUUGAAACAAUCUUAGGACACCUUCUGACACAGUGCCUAUUUUCCUGUGAAUGAGAAGGAAUUUAUAUUCUGAUGAUACU
Lolium rigidum is the source of this 98-nucleotide small nucleolar RNA. RefSeq annotates it as small nucleolar RNA snoR31/Z110/Z27. The transcript has a single exon. Lineage: Eukaryota; Viridiplantae; Streptophyta; Magnoliopsida; Poales; Poaceae. The record is from RefSeq and is a predicted model, not a curated record.